AUUGCUAUCGUUGUCCGAUUUAGCCAUGCUAGUCGCACGGAUUUAGACCCGUGGCGAAUAGCUCCGUAACACGUGGCCAAACUACCCUAUGGAGAGUGAUAACCUCGGGAAACUGAGGCUAAUAACUCAUACCGCUCCCGAGCUGGAAUGCUGGGAGCUCUAAACGCUCCGGCGCCAUAGGAUGUGGCUGCGGCCGAUUAGGUCGACGGUGGGGUAACGGCCCACCGUGCCGAUAAUCGGUACGGGUUGUGAGAGCAAGAACCCGGAGACGGAAUCUGAGACAAGAUUCCGGGCCCUACGGGGCGCAGCAGGCGCGAAACCUUUACACUGCACGAGAGUGCGAUAAGGGGACCCCGAGUGCGAGGGCAUACAGUCCUCGCUUUUCUGUACCGUAAGGUGGUACAGGAAUAAGGGCUGGGCAAGACCGGUGCCAGCCGCCGCGGUAAUACCGGCAGCUCGAGUGAUGACCGAUAUUAUUGGGCCUAAAGCGUCCGUAGCCGGCCACGUAGGUCCAUCGGGAAAUCCACUCGCUCAACGAGUGGGCGUCCGGCGGAAACUACGUGGCUUGGGGCCGGAAGACCUGAGGGGUACGUCCUGGGUAGGAGUGAAAUCCCGUAAUCCUGGACGGACUGCCGGUGGCCUAAGCGCCUCAGGAAGACGGACCCGACGGUGAGGGACGAAAGCUAGGGUCUCGAACCGGAUUAGAUACCCGGGUAGUCCUAGCCGUAAACGAUGCUCACUAGGUGUGGCGCUGGCUACGAGCCAGCGCUGUGCCGUAGGGAAGCCGUGAAGUGAGCCGCCUGGGAAGUACGUCCGCAAGGAUGAAACUUAAAGGAAUUGGCGGGGGAGCACUACA
RNAcentral lists this ribosomal RNA (856 nucleotides) under uncultured Salinirubrum sp. RNAcentral describes it as "bacterial SSU rRNA". It matches the Rfam family "Archaeal small subunit ribosomal RNA", at positions 26 to 883 of the family's 1478-position model. The record is from RNAcentral. Lineage: Archaea; Methanobacteriati; Methanobacteriota; Halobacteria; Halobacteriales; Haloferacaceae.